AUAUGCACCUAUGGGUUGGUUCUCAACCAAUUUUUUUUUCAAAUAACUUUUAGUAUUUAAUUUAGCCUCAGAUUUCAUUUCAGUAGGUGAUGGGCCUCUAUUGAAAGUCUCGAUUAGGUCAAACAAUUAACAUGAACCUACUCAGUGAUUCUAGCCAAAGAAUGAUUAGACCCAAGGAUGGCUAAUGAUCAGGUCCAAGGAUGGCUCUGUCAACCCAACCAUUCAUCAGAUAGUUCAACAGAGUUAUCAUAUGAUGAAUGAUAAUUCUAUCAUUCAGAGAGAACACC
RNAcentral lists this long non-coding RNA (287 nucleotides) under Elaeis guineensis (African oil palm). RNAcentral's name for it is "long non-coding RNA (EGUI_LNC059209)". The record is from RNAcentral. Lineage: Eukaryota; Viridiplantae; Streptophyta; Magnoliopsida; Arecales; Arecaceae.